Molecule: long non-coding RNA, 284 nt
Filed under: Lathyrus oleraceus (garden pea)
Lineage: Eukaryota; Viridiplantae; Streptophyta; Magnoliopsida; Fabales; Fabaceae
Description: Pisum sativum (pea) long non-coding RNA (PSAT_LNC009644)
Source: RNAcentral
ACUUUGAUUUUUGGUUUGACUUUAAUGUGGGUUCAUGCACACACUUCAUGAUCCUACUUUUCUUUGCUUCAUUGGGAGUAGGACCCGCUCUAGUGCAUGCAUUUUUAAAGGUGUGUUGUGUGGCCAACUUCCCUUCUUUGGCAUUUCUAGUGGCUGUGCUUACCUCCCCUUAGCUUUCUCUUUCUGGGGGGUGUUUUAUCUAGUGUUUUGUAAUAGGCUUCUUAGCGGUGUGAGUGGUUGGUGUUAUUCUUGGGAGGCUUUUGUUGAUGUUUGUUCUUUUAUUU